This 506-nucleotide ribosomal RNA is filed under the name uncultured bacterium. RNAcentral describes it as "partial 16S ribosomal RNA". It matches the Rfam family "Bacterial small subunit ribosomal RNA", at positions 29 to 523 of the family's 1533-position model. The record is from RNAcentral.
AGUGAACGCUGGCGGUAGGCCUAACACAUGCAAGUCGAACGGCAGCACAGAGGAGCUUGCUCCUUGGGUGGCGAGUGGCGGACGGGUGAGGAAUACAUCGGAAUCUACUCUGUCGUGGGGGAUAACGUAGGGAAACUUACGCUAAUACCGCAUACGACCUACGGGUGAAAGCAGGGGAUCUUCGGACCUUGCGCGAUUGAAUGAGCCGAUGUCGGAUUAGCUAGUUGGCGGGGUAAAGGCCCACCAAGGCGACGAUCCGUAGCUGGUCUGGGAGGAUGAUCAGCAACACUGGACCUGAGACACGGUCCAGACUCCUGCGGGAGGCAGCAGUGGGGAAUAUUGGACAAUGGGCGCAAGCCUGAUCCAGCCAUACCGCGUGGGUGAAGAAGGCCUUCGGGUUGUAAAGCCCUUUUGUUGGGAAAGAAAUCCAUCUGGUUAAUACCCGGGUGGGAUGACGGUACCCAAAGAAUAAGCACCGGCUAACUUCGUGCCAGCCGCCGCCGUAA